Long non-coding RNA from Helianthus annuus (common sunflower), 1490 nucleotides. RefSeq lists it as uncharacterized. The transcript is spliced from 3 exons. Lineage: Eukaryota; Viridiplantae; Streptophyta; Magnoliopsida; Asterales; Asteraceae. The record is from RefSeq and is a predicted model, not a curated record.
AGUUGCUGCACAUUUUUAGUAUAAAUAUUAAGUAAAAAUAGUUGUAUUGUUAUGCACACUUGUAUGAAUCAUGAACUACUGAUUUUAAUAAAUUAUUAGUAAGUUAUUUGAUUGUUUUAAGUGUCUAAAACACUUACCAACUAGUCUAUGCAUAUGAUUGCACCAACGGGUCGAAACGGGUUGUUGAUAGAAAAUAGUAGAAUGGAUGUGUAAAAACCAAGGUGUUAAGAAAUGGUAUGAAAUGUUUAAUGUAUGAAACAAGUUGCCUAACUUAGAGAAUGUUAUCAUUCUAAGUAUGGAAUUUUGAAAGAAUAAUGAACAUGAUGUAAAUACAUAAUUAUGCAUGCUAGAAGCUCAUGUAUGACUUUUGUGAUGAUGGAAUGAUAAAUUGUUAGAUUGAUUAGCAUUGUAGUAUUAUGAUACAUGUUGAACUCGUUAAGCGAUUGACACGUGAAUAGAAGUGUGAUUAGUGAUGCCUAUGAUUACGUAUACUAACUAUUGAAUGGAUGUAAUGGAAUGAGAUAAUAGGAACGUGUCAAGGAGAGCUCAAGCAUAGGAGGAUAACGGGUCAAGAUAAGGCAAGGUGACAAAUACACUUAUUGGAAUACUCAAGGAAGAAACGUGACGCAAAACGGACGAAAAAUGAGAGAGUUAUGUCCGUUUCAGUAAGGAUUAAUGGCUAGGAAAAGUGCAGAGUUGACACGGCCGGGUGGUGAACUGACACGGCCGGGUGAAGGUUCUGUCAAAAAUAUUAUUUAUGUGAUUUAUGCGUCGUAGGCUUCGGUAUAUUAUCCGUGAACUACGACGGGCCUCCCAAACAUGAUUUCGAGUGUUUCCUUGACGAUUAUAAGUUGUAAACCCAAGUCUAAGCCUCAUGUAAUUUAUAUAAGAGUGUGAUAGAUGUAUGUAAUGAAGUUGGACAUGUAUUACAUGUAAAUGUAUACAAAAAUACGUACGGAACACGUAGGUAUGAAUACAUGAUUGUAGGUAUGAUUAAAUGUAUAUUAGGUAUGUAGAUGUGUAUGAUUGUAAGUUUGUAUGUGUGCAAGUAUGUGCGAAUGCAUGAUUUGGAUGCAUUUGAGAAUUAGCGUUACUAAUAAUGCCCUUGGGUUUGGAAUAUAAGUUGAUUGGAUGCAUUUAAAUGGUUAACGUCCUUUUUAUGAAGAUGUAGUAAAUGAAUAUGUUGAGAUUACGGGUUUGGCUAACCAAGUUAUUAUUGAGUAUGUUUGAAAGUGCAGGUUAUGAAUGUCGGACUUUCGAAGUGUUGAUAUAAUAAUGAAACGGUUGAAUGUUGAAAGGAUAAUCGGAUUGAAGUAACUUAUGCGGUUAGAAUAUGCUAUGGACGUUUUAGUUUAUACAAUAUUAUAUGUUUGGUCGUCACCAUCUACUAACAGGUAAAUCCUCAAUUUUGGCGACUUGGAGAAUCGGAGCGAGCGCGUGUUCGUGUUAUGCGAUACCAAACGCUUCCGCUAGCUUGUUCAAAUGUUUUU